CCCAGAGGAUCCUACGGGAAGGCAGCAGUGGGGAAUAUUGCACAAUGGGCGCAAGCCUGAUGCAGCGACGCCGCGUGAGGGAUGGAGGCCUUCGGGUUGUAAACAUCUUUUAUCGGGGAGCAAGCGUGAGUGAGUUUACCCGUUGAAUAAGCACCGGCUAACUACGUGCCAGCAGCCGCGGUAAUACGUAGGGUGCAAGCGUUAUCCGGAAUUAUUGGGCGUAAAGGGCUCGUAGGCGGUUCGUCGCGUCCGGUGUGAAAGUCCAUCGCUUAACGGUGGAUCCGCGCCGGGUACGGGCGGGCUUGAGUGCGGUAGGGGAGACUGGAAUUCCCGGUGUAACGGUGGAAUGUGUAGAUAUCGGGAAGAACACCAAUGGCGAAGGCAGGUCUCUGGGCCGUUACUGACGCUGAGGAGCGAAAGCGUGGGGAGAGAACAGGAUUAGAUACCCUGGUAGUCCACGCCGUAAACGGUGGAUGCUGGAUGUGGGGCCCGUUCCCCGGGUUCCGUGUCGGAGCUAACGCGUUAAGCAUUCCGCCCUGGGAGAACCCA
Molecule: ribosomal RNA, 549 nt
Filed under: Bifidobacterium longum subsp. infantis
Lineage: Bacteria; Bacillati; Actinomycetota; Actinomycetes; Bifidobacteriales; Bifidobacteriaceae
Description: bacterial SSU rRNA
Rfam family: Bacterial small subunit ribosomal RNA
Source: RNAcentral